UGGGGAAUUUUGGACAAUGGGCGAAAGCCUGAUCCAGCAAUGCCGCGUGUGUGAAGAAGGCCUUCGGGUUGUAAAGCACUUUUGUCCGGAAAGAAAUGGCUCUGGUUAAUACCUGGGGUCGAUGACGGUACCGGAAGAAUAAGGACCGGCUAACUACGUGCCAGCAGCCGCGGUAAUACGUAGGGUCCAAGCGUUAAUCGGAAUUACUGGGCGUAAAGCGUGCGCAGGCGGUUGUGCAAGACCGAUGUGAAAUCCCCGAGCUUAACUUGGGAAUUGCAUUGGUGACUGCACGGCUGAGUGUGUCAGAGGGGGGUAGAAUUCCACGUGUAGCAGUGAAAUGCGUAGAGAUGUGGAGGAAUACCGAUGGCGAAGGCAGCCCCCUGGGAUAACACUGACGCUCAUGCACGAAAGCGUGGGGAGCAAACAGG
This 428-nucleotide ribosomal RNA is filed under the name Bacillota bacterium. RNAcentral describes it as "Firmicutes bacterium partial 16S ribosomal RNA". It matches the Rfam family "Bacterial small subunit ribosomal RNA", at positions 355 to 776 of the family's 1533-position model. The record is from RNAcentral. Lineage: Bacteria; Bacillati; Bacillota.